GUGGGUGGGCCGCGCUUCAAAUCUGGGGGGGGGGGUGCGCCC
This 42-nucleotide transfer RNA is filed under the name Chroomonas cf. mesostigmatica. RNAcentral describes it as "partial Selenocysteine transfer RNA". Lineage: Eukaryota; Cryptophyceae; Pyrenomonadales; Chroomonadaceae. The record is from RNAcentral.